UACAGAGGUGGCAAGCGUUGUUCGGAAUUACUGGGCGUAAAGGGCGCGUAGGCGGCCAUCUAAGUCAGACGUGAAAUCCCCCGGCUUAACCUGGGAACUGCGUCUGAUACUGGACGGCUUGAGUAUGGGAGAGGGAUGUAGAAUUCCAGGUGUAGCGGUGAAAUGCGUAGAUAUCAGGAGGAACACCGGUGGCGAAGGCGGCUUUCUGGACAGAAACUGACGCUGAGGCGCGAAAGCUAGGGGAGCAAACAGG
This 253-nucleotide ribosomal RNA is filed under the name uncultured bacterium. RNAcentral describes it as "partial 16S ribosomal RNA". It matches the Rfam family "Bacterial small subunit ribosomal RNA", at positions 524 to 776 of the family's 1533-position model. The record is from RNAcentral.